This 298-nucleotide unclassified non-coding RNA is filed under the name plant metagenome. RNAcentral's name for it is "partial contains small subunit ribosomal RNA, internal transcribed spacer 1, and 5.8S ribosomal RNA". The record is from RNAcentral.
UUUCCGUAGGUGAACCUGCGGAAGGAUCAUUGCAACACACGAUCCAAGAUCGACACUUAUUUGUGAACUGUUAAUGUUAUCUAUUGGUUCUUUCUGAAUUAGGAAUCUCCUGUUUGUUUUUAAGUAAGUGUUGGUGGAUGGAAGGUGACUGACAAGGAAAGGGUUGAUACUAUAUUACACCAAAAAAAUAACCAACAUGAAUUAUCAAUUGAACAUAAAUGUUAUGUCAAGUUCGUCUUGGUAUAACGCUAGAUUGAAAAUUGUAAAACAACUUUUAACAACGGAUAUCUUGGUUCUU